AACAUCAAACGCAGGCAUUCCAUCAGCUCUCUCUCUCUCUCUGUCAAACUUUUUUGUUAAUAACGUUUGUAAAUCUCCCAAUGAGGGCUUCUAAGGUCUCGGCUCUUCUUCUUCUUCUUCUUCUGGGCCUGGUGGCUCUUCCAACGAAGGGCCUGAUGCCCUACUCUCGGAGCCUUUGGGACAUGAUGUUGCCUAGCGAUGAUCCUUUCCGAAUCCUGGAGCAGGCUCCCUUCACCAUGCCCAAGGCCGUGG
Molecule: long non-coding RNA, 252 nt
Filed under: Phoenix dactylifera (date palm)
Lineage: Eukaryota; Viridiplantae; Streptophyta; Magnoliopsida; Arecales; Arecaceae
Description: long non-coding RNA (PDAC_LNC000686)
Source: RNAcentral